Molecule: non-coding RNA, 360 nt
Organism: Centropristis striata (black sea bass)
Lineage: Eukaryota; Metazoa; Chordata; Actinopteri; Perciformes; Serranidae
Source: the annotation of a RefSeq genome assembly
UUCGGUGGAGGAACCAGACUGGAUGUUGGAAGUGAUGCCCGUCCCACCCUGACGGUGCUGCCCCCCUCCACUGAGCAGCUGCAGCAGGGGAAGGCCACACUCAUGUGCCUGGCCAACAAAGGCUUCCCCUCAGACUGGAGUCUGGCCUGGAAGGUGGAUGGCAGCAGCAGCAGCAUCAGCUGGGAGCAGAGCAGCAGCCCCGGGGUGCUGGAGAAGGACGGCCACUACAGCUGGAGCAGCACCCUGAGGCUCUCUGCAGACCAGUGGAAGAAGGUGGGCUUUGUGACCUGUGAGGCCACCCAGGGCUCCCAGACUCUGCUCUCAGAGACUCUGAGGAGAGACCAGUGUCCCCAGUCCUGA